RNAcentral lists this ribosomal RNA (253 nucleotides) under uncultured bacterium. RNAcentral's name for it is "partial 16S ribosomal RNA". It matches the Rfam family "Bacterial small subunit ribosomal RNA", at positions 524 to 776 of the family's 1533-position model. The record is from RNAcentral.
UACGUAGGUGGCAAGCGUUGUCCGGAAUUAUUGGGCGUAAAGCGCGCGCAGGCGGUCCUUUAAGUCUGAUGUGAAAGCCCACGGCUCAACCGUGGAGGGUCAUUGGAAACUGGAGGACUUGAGUACAGAAGAGGAAAGCGGAAUUCCACGUGCAGCGGUGAAAUGCGUAGAGAUGUGGAGGAACACCAGUGGCGAAGGCGGCUUUCUGGUCUGUAACUGACGCUGAGGCGCGAAAGCGUGGGGAGCAAACAGG